RNAcentral lists this unclassified non-coding RNA (363 nucleotides) under uncultured fungus. RNAcentral describes it as "sequence contains ITS1". The stretch from base 1 to 104 matches the Rfam family "5.8S ribosomal RNA", at positions 49 to 154 of the family's 154-position model. Lineage: Eukaryota; Fungi. The record is from RNAcentral.
UAAAGUGCGAAAAGUAAUGCGAAUUGCAUACUCUGCGAGUCAUCUAGUCUUUGAACGCAAAUGGCACUGUCAUGUCAAGUGAUAGUAUGCCUGUUUGAGAACCAAAUAUCAUCUUACAACUAGUUAGUUGUAGACCAUGGCUUUCACCCCUGGGGUGUUGGCUUGAACUGAUUUUGCAUUGAGCCCUUAACAAUGUGUGAUAGUGAAUUCAAUUCAUAAGCAUAGUGUUGGGGCUCCAAGGUGCAAUCCGUGUGUGUGCAUAUCAUAUAUAUCAUAUAUAUCAUAUAUAUCAUAUACAUCUUAUACACACACACAACACAUAACAACGGUCUCAAAUCAGGCAAGGCUACCCGCUGAACUUAA